UGGGGAAUAUUGGACAAUGGGCGAAAGCCUGAUCCAGCGAUGCCGCGUGUGUGAAGAAGGCCUGCGGGUUGUAAAGCACUUUAGGCGUGGAGGAAGGUCUUUUUCUAAUAGAGAAGAGAUUUGACGUUACACGCAGAAUAAGCACCGGCUAACUCUGUGCCAGCAGCCGCGGUAAUACAGAGGGUGCAAGCGUUAAUCGGAAUGACUGGGCGUAAAGGGCGUGUAGGCGGAUACAUAAGUUAGAUGUGAAAUCCCUGGGCUUAACCUAGGAACUGCAUCUAAUACUGUGUAUCUAGAGUAUGUGAGAGGAGAGUGGAAUUUCCGGUGUAGCGGUGAAAUGCGUAGAUAUCGGAAGGAACAUCAGUGGCGAAGGCGGCUCUCUGGCAUGAUACUGACGCUGAGGCGCGAAAGCGUGGGUAGCGAACAGGAUUAGAUACCCGUGUAGUCCCUGAGCGGGCUGGCAAGGCGCAU
RNAcentral lists this ribosomal RNA (471 nucleotides) under uncultured bacterium. RNAcentral describes it as "bacterial SSU rRNA". It matches the Rfam family "Bacterial small subunit ribosomal RNA", at positions 355 to 825 of the family's 1533-position model. The record is from RNAcentral.